GACGAACGCUGGCGGCGUGCUUAACACAUGCAAGUCGAGCGGUAAGGCCCUUUCGGGGUACGACGAGCGGCGAACGGGUGAGUAACACGUGGGUGACCUGCCCUCAGCUCUGGGAUAAGCCUGGGAAACCGGGUCUAAUACUGGAUAUGACUCCAUGACGCAUGUUGUGGGGUGGAAAGCCUUGUGCGGCUGAGGAUGGGCCCGCGGCCUAUCAGCUUGUUGGUGGGGUGAGGCCUACCAAGGCGACGACGGGUAGCCGGCCUGAGAGGGCGACCGGCCACACUGGGACUGAGACACGGCCCAGACUCCUACGGGAGGCAGCAGUGGGGAAGUCUUGCGCAAUGGGCGAAAGCCUGACGCAGCGACGCCGCGUGA
Molecule: ribosomal RNA, 375 nt
Filed under: uncultured bacterium
Lineage: Bacteria
Description: bacterial SSU rRNA
Rfam family: Bacterial small subunit ribosomal RNA
Source: RNAcentral